CCCCUUUCAUCGGCGGGAGGGGCGGCCUAUAUUCCAAGGGCCGGCGCAAGCCGGCUAUGGCGAUAAACGGUUGUCGGAAUAAGCCUUUCGGACCCGGGGGCGGUACCCGGCGCCUCCACCAGAAUCCAUCGCGCUUCAGCGGGGUGGGUUCCGGCGGGGGCGAAAUAGGAUCGACGAGGGUGUAAAGGGCAUUCUUUUGCUCGGCAUGGUUCCGCCGUCAUCGGGCCGACCUAUAGUUGCGAAUGACAACUAUGCUCCGGUUGCUCAGGCCGCGUGAGCGGUUUGAAAGACCAAAUCAAAGUCCUCCCGGGUAGCACCGGAUAGGCGGGGUUCGGAGGCACCUGGCAACAGAAGCCUCCACU
Molecule: transfer-messenger RNA, 362 nt
Filed under: Xanthobacter tagetidis
Lineage: Bacteria; Pseudomonadati; Pseudomonadota; Alphaproteobacteria; Hyphomicrobiales; Xanthobacteraceae
Description: Alphaproteobacteria transfer-messenger RNA
Rfam family: Alphaproteobacteria transfer-messenger RNA
About the family: Bacterial tmRNA, also known as 10Sa RNA or SsrA, is named for its dual tRNA and mRNA-like properties.
Source: Rfam by way of RNAcentral